Non-coding RNA from Cajanus cajan (pigeon pea), 629 nucleotides. The record is from RefSeq and is a predicted model, not a curated record. Lineage: Eukaryota; Viridiplantae; Streptophyta; Magnoliopsida; Fabales; Fabaceae.
UCGUUUGGGUUUUCCUCAUUCGAGAGUCUCUCUGUUUGUUUGAUAACAACCCUCACACAUCAAUGCCUUGUUCGUUCGGGUUUUCCACUUUCGAGAGUCUCUCUGAUUCUUCUAUAGCAACCGUCACACAUCAAUGCCUCGCCUCCGUUAGAUGUCAUCGUUAUUCUUUUUUCCUUUUCUUCGAUUUCUACAAUUCAGAUUCGAUCAGCUUUUCAAUUUCUUGUUUGAUUUCUUUUUGAUUGUUGUUUUAUUUCUUCCUGAUUCUUGUUUAUCUUUGCUUGCUACUCGCUAGGAUUUUUCUCUUUGUUCCUCAUUCUGGAGACCUUGGCCGAUGGAAGUGGAGAAACAGGCUUGAUGGCAUUUCUGGAGCCUUCUAAAAUGCAGGGUCGGAUUCAUUGCAGAAACAAAUGCCAAAAAAGUUCCGGAGGAAUACAUGCCUAUGAAGCUAAUGUGACAAGUGUCUUGCACAAUGUUUGUAGAAGGGAUUUGUGUCGUGGUGUGGAUUGUAAAAGUUGGACACUUUCACGACCCUUCUCAUGGUGGUUUCUUGCAUGGUGCAAUUCAUUAUUUUAAGUUGCUCUAGCAGUUGCAGCAAUUCUUGAAGGGUUCCCUGUGGUUUUUACAAUGUG